GAUGAACGCUGGCGGCGUGCCUAAUACAUGCAAGUCGAGCGAACGGACGAGAAGCUUGCUUCUCUGAUGUUAGCGGCGGACGGGUGAGUAACACGUGGAUAACCUACCUAUAAGACUGGGAUAACUUCGGGAAACCGGAGCUAAUACCGGAUAAUAUUUUGAACCGCAUGGUUCAAAAGUGAAAGACGGUCUUGCUGUCACUUAUAGAUGGAUCCACGCUGCAUUAGCUAGUUGGUAAGGUAACGGCUUACCAAGGCAACGAUGCAUAGCCGACCUGAGAGGGCGAUCGGCCACACCGGAACUGAGACACGGUCCAGACUCCUACGGGAGGCAGCAGUAGGGAAUCUUCCGCAAUGGGCGAAAGCCUGACGGAGCAACGCCGCGUGAGUGAUGAAGGUCUUCGGAUCGUAAAACUCUGUUAUUAGGGAAGAACAUAUGUGUAAGUAACUGUGCACAUCUUGACGGUACCUAAUCAGAAAGCCACGGCUAACUACGUG
RNAcentral lists this ribosomal RNA (497 nucleotides) under uncultured bacterium. Its description in RNAcentral is "partial 16S ribosomal RNA". It matches the Rfam family "Bacterial small subunit ribosomal RNA", at positions 28 to 507 of the family's 1533-position model. The record is from RNAcentral.